CUUUGAGGCUCCACAGGCCAAGCCCAGAGGGCAGAGGUGAGACACAUUGGCUGCCUGUAUCUCUCGACUGUCUUGUGUGGAGUAUGACGUAAGGGGUUUCAUCAUGUUGUCAUCAGAGUCUUAAACAGUUUAGCCAAUGAUUACAGCAGAGGAAUAGCAGACUCCUAGCUGUCACAGAAACACAGCUGGAAAUUCCCUAGCACAAACAUACCCUCCAACAUUUCCUAGAUAAAAAUAGAUAAUCAGUGUUUUCCAUGAAGAAUGCAUCUGCACACUGUUCUCAAAUGCUUCUUUCUUCCAUUUUUCAUUUCUUUUACAAACUGUUUCAGCACCACUGGUGCAGUGCAGAGCAUUUAUCACUUAUACUGCCUUAUACCAUGUCAGACAACAGGUCCAGUGACUCUCCAGGGCGUCAUUUAAGAGGCCAUCCCAGUUCUACUGCCUGAGAUCUUUUUUGGCACCUUUGGCAGGCAAAAAUAUGCCUCUACCCACUGAAUGAUGGCAUCUCUGCUUGCUUCAAAACACGCCUGCCCACAUGCCCUGUGGCCAAAUAGAUGCUGCUAGCUCAAUACAUUUUGCAGCCAUGAACAGCUGUAUCUGAAAGGCAAGCCCCAGAAUCUAUAGCAGAGGAUGUUGGGGGGGACGACUCACCUCUCAAAUCACAUGCUAUUUUAGCACUCUUAAAAAUACUGUAAACCCCUUCCCCUCCCCAAAAAAAAACAAAUUGCCACUCACACUGCAAAAAAUAGAUUCAAGUAAUUGCUGCUUUUUGUACUACCAGAGAUAGUGCCUCUGUGGCUUCUCCAUCCCAACAUGCCUGUCACCUUUUGCAGAAAGCCACAAGCUUCGCCUAAUUAGCCAGCAAAGGAAUUCCUCCAUUAUCAUCUUAAGACUGAAAACAAAUAGCAGCAUGAGCUCUGUACCAUGCCCUCUCCUAGAAACACUGUGGGUUGUUGUUGUUCUUUAAACAUCCAGUCAAAGAAAUAAUUCUAUACAACUUGAACACACAUUGCAUAUAGCCAUCAGGAAAUGAAGAAUAUGGGUCAAAUUAUAGACGCAUUUCUCAUGUCUUGUUAAAUUUUUUAAAGCGCAAUUGCGAGGAGAGGGUAAUCAACCAGUGCAUGAGAAUGGUUAAGCUUUUCUCUACACUGUGGUCUCACUGAAAAUCCCCUCCCAGCUGCUAUUUGCUCUGGGAGGGAAGCUGUCAUUGGCGCCAAAGGCAGCUUCCUUAUCAAGGGAAAUAGAACCUUACGUGGUAGCAACUUUCAACAUGGCCACAGUGUGAGGUCACAGUGUGGGGCCACUUGUGCCCAAAACAUGCCAACUUAAAAAAGCUUUUGCAUGCCACUCCCAUGUUAAAAUGCUCGUGCAGUUUAGAUUCUAGCCUGUAAUGAGAACCGCAAGAGCCACCAUUUGGUGGCCAUUGUUAGUUUCAUUAUUAACUGCACUGAAAUCAGCAGGGAAAUGGGGAGCCAUGAGAAGUCUGAAUUUAGAUCUGAUUCCACAUUUAAUUACAGAAAUGGAGUGUGAGUGUUUACAAAAUCAGGCAUCCUAGUUAUGUUAUAUUUAUUUUGGUAAAAAAAAAAAAAGCAGCAAGUUUCUGGUUCUAAUGGUUCUAAAGACAGGCCUGAAAAGUAUGCGGGCAAAAUCCUGAUGAAAUUAGAGUAGCUCAAUAAGCUGGAGAUGUUGGGAGCAGGAAGCUGAGUAGUUAUGAAAUUGGGCUCCUGCACCUUACAUAGCUCCUUCCCGAUAACUAACAGGAGGAGAAUCAAUUAUGCAAAGUAAGCAAAAAUGUGUGCACGUUUGUUAAGAUUAUCAUUUACACAGUUGCAGAUUCCAGUUAUUCUUGGCACAUCAUGGUUUUUUUCCUGAAGCACUGAGCACACACAACCCUGUUUAUAUUGCAGCCAACUGGUAAUAUAAUUUCUGUAUUUACAAACUGAAACAAGAUUGAGGAGGCUCUUUGAUGGCUGCCAGUGCAAUAAGCUUCCCCCGCAGUCUCUUUCAAGCGACUCAAAGCUCUGUUAUGGAACUGAGCUGCCAAGGCUAUCCCCAUCCCUGCCUCUUGCCAAACAAUCCCACAGAGUUUGGCUCUGUGGCGCACAACAAAACCAGUUUGGAUCAUUGAAGGCAGGCAGGCUAGUGAAUCUUCAGUUGGGCACAUGCACAUCCAUGUUUAACAUGGCACUGUGGUCAUGGAAACCACCCGUCUUGUUAGGAUUCUGCUAGACUUGAAAGAAUGUUGGACUGUGGAAAUUUUCCAAGUGGAACUAGCAUGUAAAAAUAUGAUUAUAUAUCCUCCUACUUUGAUUCAUCCAUGCCCUCCCCACUCCCAGCAUUCCCAUUCAUGCAUUGUGCAAACUGGAUUUGGGAGGUAAGAAUGCAGUUCAAAUGCUAGGGCUUGUGUUACAAAAGGGGGGGGGAGGGGAGCUUAAAAUGCUAUUAGUAUCCCUCAAAGUCAUUAAGAGAAGAAAGCAAAGUUUAAAAUCCUACUGCAGUAGCUCAGCGGCAUUUUGCACAUCAGCUGAAAUGCCAAUGUCUAAGACUUUCUUGGUUGCAUACACACCACACACCAUACAUUGCUUCUCACCUGGGGGGCGGGAAUACCAUGCACUGUAGUUUCUCCCUCACAGAGCUACAAUUCCUGGCAACCAUUAACAAACAUUCUAUGAUUCUAUGAAACUACAGUUCCAAGGAUUAUUCAGGGUGAGGGAAUGCGUUAUAAAUGUAUGUUGGGUACAUAGCCUCUGUAAAGGUAAAGGUAAAGGGACCCCUGACCAUUAGAUCCAGUCGCAGAUGACUCUGGGGCUGCGGAGCUCAUCUCACUUUACUGGCGAAGGAAGCCGGCGUACAGCUUCCGGGUCAUGGGGCCAGCAUGACUAAGCCGCUUCUGGCGAAUCAGAGCAGCGCACAGAAACGCCGUUUACCUUCCCGCCAGAGUGGUACCUAUUUAUCUACUUGCACUUUGAUGUGCUUUCGAACUGCUAGGUUGGCAGGAGCAGUGACUGAGCAAUCGCAGGGAUUCGAACAGCCGACCUUCUGAUCGGCAAGCCCUAGGCUCUGUGGUUUAACCCACAGCGCCACCCGCGUCCUUAGCCUCUGUAUCUACCUUCAGGUUAAUUCACGCCAUCAUUUUGACACAGUGUCUGGAUCAUCUGGGAUUUGGCCUAGAAAACAUCUGGUCUGAGAAAGAACAUCUGGCCUGUGCCCCACUGCCCCUUCUGUUGAAGAACAUGAAGCUACAGAGUGGACGAGGAAGAACUGUGAGUGUGCAUAUGAACUUACCGUAACAGUGUAUAGUUUAAGACUGUUAAGUUCAUACAAACACACUCCACACCCCCAUUACUCUAUCUUUCCUCAAAUCAAAUGAGGAAGGAGCAGUAAUCGUUCUCCCAGAUCCCAGCAUAGUUGCAUCACUCCUCUUCCAUCACCACCUCCAGGCAAUGCCCUUGGUUCCUCCUGACCAGGUCUGGCUACAAAUACCGGUACUUCAGGGUUAAGGCCUGAUUCUUUGCCCAGGCUGCAGCCAUUAUUUACUGUGGCUUUCUAAUUUUGACACAGGCAUCAAUAUUCAUCCCCUGCCUUCCCAGCUCCCCAUCCCAGACUGCCCAGUGUGGUAAAGUGAAUAGUGUUGAGACUUGGAGUGGGGGGAGAUGGGUUCAAAUCCUUACUCCAUCAUGAACAGGGUGACAUUAGGCCAACCACUAUGCCAAAAUACCAGCACACUUUCUCAUCAGAUGGAAAAAAGGGCCCCAAGCCUUGAAACAGGCAGGGAGAACAGUGCGUGCCAGUAUGCCACCUCACAGGUCACAGUUUUCUGCGUCUGGGUUCAGGCAGCUGUGAAAUUUUUUUUUCCAGAAUCAAGUAACAUGGAAAUGAGCUCUAGAUUUGCGCUAUAUUCCAUUCCAUUCCAUUAGUAUUCUGGAAGUGACUUUUACAUAAUGUAAAAGCUCAGAUUUAAUCCGCAAAAUAACAGUUAGGGAAACGUCAGGGAAGCAGAAUAAACUGCAGUGUGAAUGCAGCCUCUGUAGGCGGCACCUUCCUGUGCUCUUAACAGAAGAUGGUAACUUCAGAGAUAUGACUAUAUUUUUAAUAAUAAGAACGCCUUAUUAUAACACACUGUAACAAUCUGACCAUUAAUAGGUUAAAAGUAGAAACUCUUAUUAUGGGCUACAAUAAGACUCAGCCCAUUAACCAUUUUUCUUUUUAUUUAGUGUAUUCCACCUAUAAAUGGCAUCAUAUCCCACAAUACAGUCUCAUUUAUAUUGUUACAUGUGGCCAUCCGAUAACAAGGUAUUCCUAUAAAAAAUAGGAGGAUUUUUAAAAAAACCAAACCAAUAAUGCUUAAAAAAACCCUGCAAAUAUUCACAUCAUUCAAAAUGUAUGAACAAUUAAAUUUAAAAAUCUAAGAGGCCAUUGAGAAAAAUGCAGGGAAUGCAAGCUGUUUGCUAAAAGACAAAGCUAGCCAUAAAACUCUAUAGUUUGAUAGGGGAGUAUCUUCCCCACUCAAUGAGUUCUGUCAUAAAUGGUACAGACAACCAACUCAGCAAGUCCUUACUGUGGGGAAACUGUAUUGCUUGGGUAAAGCAUCCCAGGGCCCCUCCAGACCGGUGUUUUAUUGUGGCUGUAUUCAGCAACAUGUUCUAGACAGAAUAACAGUGCAUUAGUGAUGGAUUUUAUUCUGCUUUUGUUUGUUCUGCAAAGGCAUCCCCAGUGUUACCACAUGAUUGCUGUUCAGAGAUGCCAUAGUAUAGCAAAAACAGGAUAAAAAUAAAGCAAAGUAUUUGUGGCAUAAAAAGUUACAGGAUUCCAGCAGGAAGUUACAGAAUACGUGCACUGACUGGCAAUGCAAACACCCCCAAAACUUUUGCAGGUAAAAACAGUAUUGAAAACAGAAUUGUGUGUGACCACCCUGAGAGCAUAACGAGCACAAAUCAUCAGGAACCACAAUAAAAAGGAUGUCUGGAGGGUAGCACACUUUGGCAGAAGAAAAAUCUUAACACUUUCAUCAACACAGAGAAUGAAACAAAUUCAAUGUAGAAAACCUUACCACCCAGCAAAUACGGUAAAUUGCCUGUUGGCCAAUGACGUCUUCUCUCACACAAAUAUAUUUUAAUCAUUGCCUAUCACUAAAAAUGACAUUUGCAUUCAUGGUGUCCAGAUUAGUAAGAGUCAACCCAGUUGGAAAAAAUGGCUCUCUUCUGCUUUCUAUUCCUCACAAACAACCUUCAUACAUGAUUGUGAAUAACAAAGGAGAAACUCAAAGGCAUUUGUAUUUCUGACAACGUCAUUAAUCAUCCAAAAACUAAGUGACAGGAAGAAGGUUUUGCUCGAUGGGCCUUGAACUUGUAGCAUUCUCUAGGCUCACAUCCAAGAACCAGUCCAAGCCCUCUUCACCUUCAGCCUUUUCAUGUCUGGCAAGCUGAAACACUGGCCUCCAAGCGGCAAUACAGAAACCUAGCCAGCAGCUGAUGUGCCUGAAUCAGCAAAAGCAAACAGAACAUAAAGCCACAUGUUGAAAGACAUUUAUUAAACUGAUUUCCCCUUUAUCCAGACCCAAGAAUUUGGAGAGCAUCCCUUGAAAUUCCAAUGGUGAAGCUCUGUGUUGAAGAAAAUGAAGCAUUUCUUAUUACACACAAAAUAAAACUCGUAGAACAUAUUGCCACAACAUCUUGAAAGGCCACUAGCACAAAUAAGCAAUGGAUUAAUACAUUUUUUGAUUUUCAGCUACAGUCAUAAUAACCAAAAGAAUAAUCUUCUUGGUCAUAAACAGGAUAUCUCCGACAUUUCUGAUAACCAAAUGUUGGGAGAGUAUAUGGUAUACAGGAGUUUCUCUCUCUCUCUCUCUCUCUCUCUCUCUCUCUCUCUGCAAGAUGGCAGAGGAUGGAAACUAUUAUCAUGAACUAAUGUCCCUUUGGAAUCUAAUUGCCUAAAGUUGGGACAAGGGAUGUGAGAGGGGAUGGACUACUAGCCUGACCCAGCAAGCAAUACAUACUGCGGGUGGAGGAUACCAUUUGUUAAUUCUCCACUAUGUUAAAAAUUCAUUGAGAACAAAAAAAUCAACAUAGUAAGCAAAGGACUAAGUUAGACCAUACCUCCCUGAUGUGUUUGUUUUCUGUUCAAAGGGGAAAAAAUUCCAUGGCAUUUAGAAAUGGCAACAACCCACCCACCACAGUCUGAAUUGGUUUGGUCUACCAGCUCAAUUAUUGUCCCAUCUCAUUACACUGCAUGUGUAGACUAGGCCUCUAAAACAAAGCAAGGAGUGUGGCUCUGUAUCUUGGUGCUGACUCAGUUCUCAAUAGGUACCACUGAGUCCCAUGGAACAAAAUUAACAGACAGCACUGUGAGACACAGCUGUCACUGAAGCCACACCUCAUCCAAAACAUGAGGGUCUCCCAGAGUAGGGGGAAGCUUUAGCCAUCCCCUCAGUAAUGUCUCUAUGUACACCACCCAGGACUUUCUCCCAUGUCUGUGGAGGUCUUCAACCACAUCACUUUAAAUAUUCAUAUUGCUUUUUUUAAUUGUAUGCUAUUGCUUCUUUCAUUUUUACUAUUGUGUUUCAUUGUAUUGCAAUUUGAACUGCAUGAAAUUUAAACUGCAAUGCAAGAAAAUACAGUACAUAAGAAAUAAAAAAAAUCAAUAAAUAUACUAUCAAAACCUGGACAGCAUGAAGCACAGCACAUUACAGUUGCCACAACAGUGCAAUUCACUUGCCACAGCAGGCAGAAAAAUCAUUAAGUGGUCCGCCAAGACUCUCUGAAAUUUUCAAAUGGAUCUGGGUGUGUGGAGAGUUUGGGAAACACUUGUAGAGUAGAGUAUUGCCCUUGGGGGCAAUAUAAUGGCUGGGAUAAAUAAUAACUACAACCCCCUGACAGCCUGUGGUGAAACGCAAUCCACACCCACAAGGUCUCUGCAAUAAACAUAACCAUCCCCUCCACAUCAUUAUUAUGGGUAUGUCUAAUAACCACAAACAACAAUGGAAAAGGUGAGCUAUACAUGGAACAAACAAAUAAAUAACCACAAUUUUUAAAGACUCCUUUGGGGAUUUUCCCUGAAACAUUAGUCCCUUGUACGCUAUAUUUCAUUAUCCACAAUAAAUCCACACCCCUGAACAUAUUAAUGAUGGAGGGAUUUAUUCUCAAAUACCCAAACAAAAUCUAAACCAUGACAUUUAUGUGCAAAAUGGGAGACUCACUCUUCAAACAACAGCAGCCUCCGUUCCAGUCGUAAAGCCCAAACACUCAACACUGGUGCUGGCAGAGUGACAUUGUGGCCAUAAAUCUCCCAUCAUUAGAGACUCUUUGCUUCUCAUUUACAGCAACAAGUGCUCAAGGGCCAUAAAUCCCCAUCCUCUUUUCUGAAAAGGCCCAUUUGAGAUGCUUCAGUGAGGCCGUGAUUAUUCACCAACAACUUGGCUUCCUUAGAGAAAAUGUGACGGUCCAUCUUGAAAAGGGAAUAAGAGCAGUUAGUUACUACCAGCCAUUCCCCUACACAAGAUCAGUAUGAGAACAGACAACCUCAUUUUUCCAACAGAAUCACUGGGUUGGGUGAAAACAAGUCACUGGUGUGGGGGGUUAUAGCUCAGUUGCUGAGCACGUGAGUUGCAUGCAGAUGAUCCCAGGUUUCAACCUCUGGCAUUUCCAAGUAGGACUAGAAAAAAGACCUGUCUGAAAUGCUGGAGAACUGCUGCGAGCCAGUGUAGCCAAUACUAAGCUAGAUGGACCAACAGUCUUGCUUAGUACAGGUAUAACUCAGCAUAAGGGAUAAGGUACCUUCCUAAGUGUGGGUUACCAGGUAAAAAGUACCUGCGUUAUUGAAACUAAGCCAGUGUGGGCUUGAUAAGUUUCUCAGAUAGAAACAAAGUGGGGCCUCACGUAAAUAUUCUCUGCUUUCCAAGGAAGAGCAAGAUAUAAAUAGAAUGCAUCACCUGAAGCUGUGUUACUGGAUUUUAAAACAUGUAAAUAGCAGGUGCUAUUUAACACACUAUAUUGAAAAUAACCCCUUCAUGGAUUGCUGCCUUGCCGUGGCGAAGGGGCUUGAAUAACUCAGAGAAGCUAUGAACUAUGCCGAGCAGGGCACCCAAAAUGAACAGGUCAUAGUGGAGAGUUUUGACCAAACAUGAUCCACCUGGAGGAGAAACCGGCAAGCCACUCCAGUAUCCCUGCCAAGAAAACUCCAUGGACAAAGACAACAGGUUUGACCAAACUGCGGGAGGCAGUGGAAAACAGAAGUGCCUGGCGUGCUCUGGUCCAUGGGGUCACGAAGAGUCGGACACGACUAAAUGACUAAACAACAAAAUUGAAAAUAAAACUGCCAAUAUCAUCUUCCCUAAGCACCUCCCCCCCAUACCCUGCCACUACCAGACUAUGGCAUUCCUAUACAUGAUAUUGUAUAUAUCUUGCUAUAUAAUAAAGUUGGAAGGCUGUCAUUACACUGCAAUAGGCAGCCAUGGCAACUCUGUGACAACAGAACAGACAGGCAAGCAGUACAGGUGGCAGAACAGCCCAGGCAAGUUGUUUAAAGGAGUGGCAAGGUGCUCAAAACCUUUGGUGAGACAAUACUGGGAAUUCUGUGUAUAGUUCUGGUCACCUCACCUCAAAAAGGAAAUUAUAGAACUGGAAAGGGUUCAGAAAAUGGCAACCAAAAUAAUCAAGAAGUUGGAAGAAGUCCCCCUAUGAGGAAAGGUUAUAACAUUUAAGGCUGUUUAGUUUACACAAAAGUGAGUAGGGGGGCGUGAUAGGUUUAUGCUGUGGAGAAGAAGAUAUGUUUUUCUCCCUCUCUCAAAUAAUGCUAGAACACAGAGCUAUUCAAUGAAGCUGAAUGUUGGACGAUUCAGGACAAAAUACUUUUUCACAUAGGCAGUGAUGGGCACCAGCUUCUCUGUCCACUUUCUCCAUCCUUGUUCUUCUCCCAGUUAGUCUGAGUUAGCUUCAGUACGUCAAACAAACUGUUUGUUACUUGGUAAAAGUGGGUUGGAAAGAGGAAUGGUGGAAAGGGAGGUUUAGCCUUAUAUUUUAUUAAGAAUUUGUUAUAUGUAUAAACUGAUGAGGAAACAAUAGAAGUUGGAUUUAAAGGGGGGGGGGGAGAGCUUCUCUUGACUGGCAUCAAGCUCCCCCUCGCCACAAGUGCUGCUACUCAACAUGCUAUUUUCCACCAUGAAGAAUCAUUUAAGAAAGAAAACAUGACUUCAGGAAGAGGACUCCACUGUCAGAAGUUUGCCCUCCUUCCAUAAAAAAAAUACAAGUUGUGUACCCCUGAAGGUAACUACAGUGCAGGCAACAUAGUAUUGAGGCAGCUCCCCCAAAACAAAAUCACAGAAUCAUAGAAUUGUGGAGUUGGAAGGGAUCAUGAGGUCAACUAGUCCAACCCUCUGCAUUGCAGGACUCUUCUGCCCAGAACCCAUGACCUUGGGACGAAGAAUCUUAUGUUCUACUGACUGAGCUAUCAAGAGGAUAGUAAUAACCCUGACAGAAGUACCUGACGCCAGUAGCCUUUAGUUAAGUCAGCAUAGGGAAGGGUACAAAACUGGGCUAUGGAGCAUGGUAGAUUUAUUGUUUUAUUAUUUAUUUUGACUUUAUAAUAAAAAUCUUAGCAUGAUUUUCAGGAACUGCUUGUCAUUCCACUGGCAUAAACAAACACCCACCUUGAUCUAAAUCAGGCUGACACCCAGGAAACUGCCUCAAGCCUUACUCACUGACAAAGCAACUUUGUGGAGAGGCGGGAGAAACAUGGGAACAGAAUGUGGAGGUGUCAAAACUAGGGGAAAGGGUUGUGACCUCAGCGAUAGGAGGAUGGAGUUGGAAAUAUAUCUAGACACCCAGAGAGGGUCCUUCUCAAAGAAGCCCCAGGCAUUUGCUUUGGAAGCUCACAACACUUGGGCUAAAAAGAUCCCAUUAAUUCACUGUUUCCUUACAUUUGCUUAACUGCCUUAGAUGUUUGCCCUAAAGAUAUUAAAUUGUUGCUGCAGGGGGAAAGAAUACUGGCUUUCCCCUUUGGGAAGCAGAGAAUGCCAGCUGGAAUAAUAAAAGCAAGACAAAGGAAGAGAACUUUAAAUUAAUCUUGGGACUAAUUACUGAAGCAUUUGAAAGGCACAUUCCAAAAGUUAUCUGGGCUGCAAUUAAGAGCUGCUCUAAGCUGCUUCCCGCUUCAGACUAUGCUGUCAUGCUGCACAAUAGGAAUAAUAAUAGCAUUUACCAUUUGUAUGACACUUUGAACUCUCUAAACUUUAGUCUAAAGUGAAUCACAUAUAUUAUCUCAGUAAUCCUUACAAUGGAGCUAUAAGGAAGCCCUGCAUUACUAUAUUAUUAUUCCCAUACUGUGCAUAAGGGUCUGAGGCAGAGAGAUCUUUGUUUGCCUAAGGCAACCUAGUGAGUUCAUGGCAGAGGCAGGAUUUAGCUUCCCAUUUUAAUGGGUGCUUCCUGGUUUCUAGUUCUGCUUGUCAGUCACUAGUGCAAUAAGAACACACUCCCUUCUCCCUUCUCUCGUGCAUCUUAAUGGAAAACUUCCAGGUUUCAUAAACCACAAUUUCCCAUGAUGUCCAAAUCCUGUGGUUUAAACUAUUGAUUACAAACUAGCACAGUUUAAUCUGGGUUUUCAAGCCAAGAUGACAGUCAGAGUUUAAAGCAUAGUUCAGAUAAAGAGAUUGUGGUUUAACAGACCCUAGAUGUCUCAAAGUGAGAUAGAUGCACAAUGGAGGAGAGAAGGGAAGAGGAGGAAGUUAUGUGGGCAGAAUUCAUCAGACUGAUAUUACUACAUCUGAAUUGGGUCUAACUCUCAGGAGUUAUUCCAAGCCUCUUCUCCAAAGACAGAAGGAACCUCCAUUCCUGCCCAAAUACUGGAAAGGAAAUUUUAAGGGCUGCCACUAUACAUUUAAAGCACACAACUCCUGCCAGAGGAUCAUGGGAACUAUAUUUUGUUAAGUGUGCUGGGAAUUGUACAUUACUUUUCCCAAAACUAUCCCCAUGUGAUUUAAACGUACUUUAAAUGCACAGCGUAGAUGUAAUGAAGUAUAGACCUCCAUCCAUGUAUGGUGCCUCACAAGGGACUUCACAUAUCACCUGCCUACCUGGGACUGGAUUGGGGAAAAGGAGUAGUGAGUAACUGCCAGGCCACAAUGUAUGACUGCUGGGCUGUGUUCCACUGGAGGGCUGUGUUCCACUGAAUUCCACUGUGUUCCACUGGGCUGUGUUCCACUGAAUUUGUGGUACUGAGACCACAAAUUCUGCAGGUCUCAGUAAACACAGCUGAGCAAUUUGGUCCACAAGGCUGCACAAUGUGCGUGGGGCCAACAAGGCCCAGCUCCCUGGAAGUUGGUAUCCACAAGGAGGGAUUGCAUUGGUCCCCGUGCCACACAUCCUUGCAAGCAGUUAGCAAAGCUUCACAACCUUCUCAUGACAGCAGUUCCUUUAGGAAGCCUGUAUUGUCAAAGGGUAGGAAAUGUUUCAACAGCAAGAGGCCAAACUGAAGGCAAAUCAGGACUUCCCUUGCCUGCAAAGAUGCUUUUGCAGCCUGCCUCUGAGCUUUGGGGAGCUUUAAAAUCCAUCUUUAGUUUUUUCCUUGACUGAACAUAUGCCAAGGAAAAAAACACCCAAAAAACACUUUUCAGCCUUGAGAUACAGAAUGAAAAAUUAAUCCCCAAUAGAAGACAAAUUUCCCUCACUGCUCUCUCUCACUCUCUUCCUUUCUCUCAUCUAGGUUUAACAAGGGUUUGAAAGUUUUUUCUCUCCCCCCGCGUGCCCCCGCAUUGCUGAUGCUCAGCCUGAGUGAACCAUUUAAAAUCCUGCAUCCUGCCGUUGUUCAGCAAUUCCAUGAACCUGAGUUGUAAUGUAAUCUUGUGGACCUUAAUUGUUGAGCUGUGAAACACAGAUUAAUAGCAUCUUAAGGGAGUUCUCCUCAAGGGUAGAGUGGGGGGGGGCAGAUGUCAAGCUCUUGUAUAUGGAAUUCCAAGCAUUUUGCCAGAGCUAAGGCAGCAAGAUACCAGACACAUUUUAUUUUUACAUAGGCUAGUUCAUGGAUAAUACCAAGGAUUGACAGUGAAUUGUGAUAGCAAUGCUGCAAGCAAUGGCUGCUCCAUGAAUUUAUAGUGGGCUGCUCAUAACCCCAAAAAUCAUUAGAAUUUUGGCUGGCAACUUCAGAUCAAUGUGAAAUUCACCUUCGCUUCAUUUGAACCUGGGUAGCUCACUUUCCUGGCCUUGUGCUGCUGUUUCCCUAUCCACCCCCCUUCUUACCCAUAACCCUGAUUCUUCUUCACCUUACAACUCAGUGGUACUUUAUUUCCUUGAACUCUAAGCUUCCACCAUCACACAUAUCCUUCCAUAUCAGGGUGGAAGGGAGUAGAUAAAAGGAUGGAUCUCUAAAAGAAAGUCACAGCAAGAUUAUUAUACAGAGAAACCUAGAGGAGUAGGCAUUGCAUUCUCCGGAGAAAAGCACUAAAAGGACCUGGGGACAGAGCCAGCUGUGCCACUUGUUUUCCUAAGCAAUGUACACAGCUGAAAUGCAGCAAGUCCAAGGCCCAUGUGUUCUUAUACAUGAUGACAGCCACCAUUAAGGGGAAAUUAUGCCAUAAGAAAGGCAGUGAUCAGUAGGCCCAUAUUUCUGGAAAAGAUUGGAAAGCAGGGCAAGGACAUUGGAUAAGGACCAAGGUGUUGGCUUUAGGUGCUGCAGUUGAUGCAGAAAAUACAAGUUGUCUCAAGGGUGUCUUUGAGCAACCUGCAAAGUCUGGACUAGGGAGUCAAGAUGGAAGCCCCACAGUGUGAUUGCAGUAUUUGGCCAGUGAAAGGACUAUUGGCUUUUUCUAGAUGGUGGGGUUUCCAACUGUGGGGAUAGCUUUGCAGAAAGCUCCUCAAGACACUCCUGAUCCUCAGAGGAGUCUACAGCCAAGUCAUCAGAAGCUGGUGGCAGAGGUGUUUCCUCAGCAUUCAGUGUUGAGAUGUGGGCUCCAACAGAUUCACAUGGGAAGAGGAUCUGCUGUUGUUGGUGCACUUGGCUUCUACGGAUUUCUGGUCCAGAGCCAUAACACCAGCAAGCAGCCUGAUACAAAAUGUGAUCUUUCCAACUUAUGCAAUAAUUCAGCACCACAGACAGCAGCAUUUCAUACACCCAGCCUGCCUUGGGAGGCCGUGUUCCCUCUUCCAAGUCCAUUUUGCAAGCUGAAUCCUGAGCUGGGUUGGGUGACUAUGACUCAGUUGCAGGAGAUCCAAAUAUUUUCUCUCUUGCUAGCUUGACUAUUACCUUUUGUGGAGAAAUCACAUUUGCUAAGCAUUCAUACCACAAUAUUUGGUCACUGGGAAAAUUCCCCAGCAUUCAAGGCAUGCUUUGUUGCUGCAAAUUUAGAUCUGACAGUUUGUUCCAUCCUCUUUUCCAAACCAGUACAGCUGCAGGUUGUGCUGUUUUCCAAUAUAAACUUAUCAACCAGCUAGGAUUUUACUAGUUCAUUACAAUAUAUGCUUUAUCAGGCAAUGGGGUCUGAAAAGCUCAUAAAUCUCAGAUCCUGACAGAUGCUGCCCUAACUUCUCCCCAAACCCUCCUGGUUUUGCACCACUUUCACCUGCCUUGCUGCUCAUACCCACCUAGGCGACUCAGAGAGCCAGUAUCAAACCAAAGGAUGCUGCCUAAUACUGAGUCAGACUGAUAUGCCCUCUUGCUUAGUAUUGUUGACACUUACUAGCAGCAGUUCUCCCUGAUUUCAGACAGGUUGCAUUCCCAGCCCUACCUGGAUAUCCUGGGGAUGCUCUACCACUGAGUUGAAACCCUUCCCCAGUAACUGGAAACCCUAUUCUGAGCAUUGGUUUAGGAGAGUCAUGAACAAGUUACCAAACCAGUAAGGCUGGAACUGCCUAGCAACUGGAACCUCUGGGAGGCUAAGGAAGAGAAGUCACCAUCAGUGUCCUCCCUGGGGCUUCUCUUUUUCUACUGCCAGCCUCCUUUGGAGGACAGAUGAGGAGACCAACACUGAUUUAUCUAGUGGCCUGGUAAGAAGACUUUACUCCCUUUGUUUACUGUCAGUUAAGUCCAGAGCAAAACGAAAGCUAUGCAUUAAGUGUAGGUUAUUUAUUUGUUAUAUAUAAUUUAUUCUGUGUUUGCUGAAUUGUUGGUUUUUUUCCCUAUUUGAAAACAUUGCUGUGUUUUGUCAGUGGGUGUGUCCCCCCCCCCAAAAAAAUAUAUUUUGAUGGUAAUUGUGAAUGUUUGUGGUAAGCUGCUGUGGGCAUGGCACACUGUGGGAAAGCAGCAUGUGAAUAGAAAAAAAAUAAACCUAAGUAGUUUCAGCAGGAAAGGAGAAGAGAAUUGAAGUGAACUAGAAAAAUCAGCACAGCAGCCAAAUCCUGCUAUUCAAACCCAUUAGGAAGUUGGCUGGGUAUUGGUCAGUGCUUGGAACGAUCUCGUUUGGUUCAGUGAAUUUCACUAAAUUGGUUCAAAAAUAUCUGAACUACCCAUGAAAGUAGUUCCCAUAGCUGCUGCAUGAACUGAAUGUGAAUUAAGUUUGGGGGUAAAAUGAUGAACGAUUUCUUAUUCCUCUUCAAAUUAAUUCUCUUGCAUGUGGUUUUUUUUUGUAUGCCUUUAGACUCUUUGGGCCUUUACAGCUGAAAGAUCAUAAUUGUUGGAAGGGGGCCUAAAUUAAGCAACCCACAUCCGUGUGUGUGUGUGUGUGUGUGUGUGUGUCUGUCUGUGUGUGUGUGUGUGUUUUACUGUUCUCAUACUUUAUACUCCAGGAUAGCAGCUUGUAACAUUCUAAAUGCUGAGAAUUUUUUGGGCAAAGAUCAUUUGGGUAAACAUUUGAAUUGAAAUGUGAGCCAAACUAGUUUGUUUUCUAAAGGGUCGAACUAUUAUUCUAUGAGUCUACAAACUGGAAUUAGUUGAGGGUUUUUUCAUAUUGAAACAGAACCAGUUCCUUUAAAAAAGAAGAGCUCCCCAAGUUCUGGUACUGGUGGUGCUGGCCAAAGGUGCAGCCCCACUUUAGUGGCAGCCCUCAGCCUCUUUUCCUUUGCUUAUCCUGACAGAAAACUGCCUCUGCUGGCUGGUUGAAGGGGCAGCUGCAUUUCGUGACAUGCCAGAUGCCUCGUUUAGAUCUUCCUCCUGCUUCCAGGCCAUCAGCCUAAGUACAGGCUGGGUCACAACACUUGGAAGAGCCUGUCAGUGGGGUUGAUGUGGUGGAGAAGGGGCGUCUCAGGCUGCAUUAGAGAGAAGACUCCCUCCUGGGCAUGCUAUCCUUUCUGCUGUAAACCCACCUCCUUCGGCUCCCUGUCAAGGAGACAGCAACUUGGAUUUCAGAAAUAGCCUUGCUGUUUUGCUUAUGGGUAGUGGUUUUUUUUAAAGGAAAAAAAGGAUGAGGGUAUCCUGCAUAGUAGGCCCUGCCCACCCCCUGCCAACAGCUAUUAUGAACCCCUCCCCUGUCCCAGUGGUCCACAAGAUCCUUCCCCCUGCAGCUCCCUACAAUUCUAUCAGGGUGUUCAAAUGUCAAGACUGCCUUCAAGCCAUUAAGACGUAAAGCAGUUAAUAAUACUCACUUAUGUAUUCAAGCUUCUCAAGCCCAAGAACAACAUACAAAUUCAGGCAGCCAGGAGGACUAAUAGCUAUGACACACACCCAUCAAUGUGCACACUGACAGGGAACAGAACCAAUAUUUCAGCCCCACAGCGCCAAGCUGCCUGGAAGCUGUACAUCAGGCGGUACUCAGAUGCAUUUUAAUUCCUAGCCUUUUGGCAUAAGCCUGUUUGCGGCGGUGGGGGGGGGGUGUUUUGUUUUUGUUAAGUGGUUCUGUAUAGCUCAUGAGCAGCCAAGAGCCUAGAUAGAAGUUGGCUUUAUGUAUGCAAAGUAUAAUGAAAUGAUAGUACACAGAGAUGGAGCAUAAGGUAAGGCAAAUGGGCUUCCUAACAGAGUGUCUACAUGGAGACUUCGUGGAUGGGUUUCAUUUGACACUCAGAACCUUCUUAUAUUCAUGGAGGAUAAACUAUCAAUGGCUAUUAGUUGUGACGGCUAUAUACUACCUCCAGGAUCAAAGGCAGCAUUCCUUUUGAUACAGGUUACCAGGGAGAGGACAGGCUGCUGUGCUAGACAAACCUUUCGACUCAUGCAGCUGGGCUCUUAUGUACUUAUAGUAAUAAUUACACGAGAGCAUAAUAAUACAUGAUGUUAUUAAAAUGCAUAAUAUCAUACAUAAUCUCUUAUGUACUUAAAAGGCAUAAUUAUUGUUCCGUACUUAUCGUGCUCUUAUGCACUGAUUAUGCUGUUAUGUACAUAUGGUCUUAGGUACUUAGACCACAUAAGACUGAUUAUUAUAAACACAGAAUGCUUAGGGAUAAGAAACUCAUAGGGUGGUUAAUGAGUAGGAAAACCAAAUUACAUUAAUGUCUGUGAGUGAGCUGGGGAUUUUAAUGUACAUUAACAUUUGUGGCCACAGAACCAAUAAAACCUUUGUGCACAAAUGAAUGUGAGGUACCUGAUGUCUUGUAUAGAAACAAGAUGCAGGCAAGUGUCCAAUAAUACACCAACCACAAUUGUUCUGGGCAAACUCUGUGGGUCUCUUGAUUCACGCUCAAGACAUGGAAACCCUGGCAUUACAGCCGUGGAAGAGAGCUCAUGGUGAAAGGACACCAAUUUUUAUUUAAUUUUUUUGGGAGGGGGAGAGAAGAGCUGUGAAAUGUCACUGCCUUGGGCCCAUGCACAUUGCCGAGCCUUCUCCUCGCAAAGGUUGCCAUGGAAACACACCUCACCCAUAUCUAGGCCUGAACUUGUGCUCCCGGCGUCCUAUUAAGCCUUCCCUUGGGGUUUGGUAGCCUGGGAAAUUAAUUCCUGCAUCUGAGGGGAAGCUCGGGGCUGCUGAAAAGGUUACAGUAACCAGCUGAGACUAGUUGGUAGUGUGGUGCCCAUUUGCUUGAUUUCUAAAAUGGAAGGCCCACAAAUCUAAAUUCCACAAAGAAAUUGGAUUCUUUUCACAUAGGAACACAGGAAGCUGUUUUACACUGAGUCGCAUCUUUGGUCCAUGUAGCGCACUACUGCCUACACUGACUGGCAGCAUCUCUACAGGGUUUCAAGCAAGGAACUCUCCCAGCCCUGCAUACAAAGCAGAUGCUCUGUCACCGAGUUGCAGACCUUCAUCUUCACAUCUUAUUCCAAAUUUUCAGGGGGUUGGCCAUGCUUACUUAUUAAUAAAAAUGAGAUACACUGAGCAUAUACCAGAAAGGUGCUAUUUGUUGCCUUAUGAAGUUGCAGGCUGAGCUCUGGGAUCAUAAACAAAAACAUGGAGGAAACUCAGGAGUUGUUUUCUACAACUCUGUCCAGGAAACAUGCCCUGAUGGACUCAUGCCAGGAAGAGGGGGAAUAGGUGGAAAUUGAAUGCCUUAAAAACAACCUGAAGCAGCAACAUGUCAGGGCCUUGAUGGAGCAAAUUAUGACAGUAACAGAGGUUCAUGGUGACUGGACCAGCUGGCACCAAACGGAUCAGAUGUUAUUAGCAUAUGUAAACACCAGUUAGCACAGGAAUAUUUGCAUAUACCAACUCCCCCAACCCAACCCAAGAGAGGAUUAAGCUGUAUGAUCAUUUAGAUGGAAAUGACUUGUAAAGUAAACAGAUCUUGGUCCGUGUGGAUUUGAAGCGUCUUGAUACUCCAUAGUUAAGCUGUAUGAAGCUGUGCCAUAAUUGCUAGCUCAAAGUAAAUGGAUUCUGCUUUGAACUGUGAGUGCUAAUCCAUCCAGGGCAAGUGACCUCUCCGAGCUUCUCUCUUUUUAAGAAUCACAGUGCUGAAAGGGACCAAAAGAUAAUCAAGUCCAAACCCCUACCAUGAAUAUUCACACACUAUCCACCACACUCAAGGCAGAGGCUACAGGAUGCCACCAGCAGAGAACAGUUGCACCACACAGAUUCUCGAGUGAAUGAACCAAUCUAUGUAGUACUGGAAAAAGUAAAAGUAAGGCAGAGCUAUUUAAUUCAAAGCAAGUAAGCUAAACCACAUUGUAUAUAAGAAAUUAACUCUCCCCCCCCCCAAAAAAAAACCUGUUCCUCUUCACAUAUCCUCUCUCAUGAUAUAAUGGCUAGUUCCAUGGAAACUUGUUGUGAUCAACACUGCAUCUAUGUGCUCAGAGGCACACUUCUCUCCAGCUGACCAGCAUGUGCUGAGAAAACUGCCCCACAAAAUUAUUGCAAAAAGGAUUUAUUAGAUGUUGGCUUCUGUGGGGAGGCAUUUUUGUGAAUGGAUAUUCUUGAGUUCUGCUGCCUGGCUGGCAGCAAAGUAAAUUCAGAGUAUGGGGUCAAACUCCUUAUUCAUAUAAAUAAAAGUUACACAACAUGUAUUUCCACCCUCUCCCCUCCCCAAAUCUAGCCACUACUUUCCCCAACAUUGUUGCAUUUGGGGGAGGGGACAGGCACCAACCUAGAGAAGUACAUUCUCCCUCUGCCCUCAGCCUGGGAUACAGUGUGGAAAAGAAAUUAAUGGUCUAUAGUGCCCUUUGGGCAGGUGAUAGGAGAUGAGAAUAGCAGACUGUUAAUUCAUGACUAUUGAACCUUACUGUAAUGCAACCUUCUCUUUGGCUUCUUGCAAAUGUCAAGAGAAGGGUGACACAAGAACCAAUCUGUGGGCACUGUGCUGAGGCAGAGCACACAAGGGUCCUUUAGCCAAAUCAAAGCCUUUCUGUGAGAUGCAUGGGAGGGGCCCAUAUUUAUGUCCAGAUCCUGUCAGAAUAGAACAUUCUUUUAAAAUAUCUUCUCUAGCAUUUGCAAAAAAAAUGCUUUGCAAUCCUUGUAUCAAUGAUGCUCACUAUGUUAUCACAUCCAUCUAGAAUAGCUCAGUUGGUAGAGCAUGAGACUCUUAAUCUCAGGGUUGUGGGUUCAAGCCCCAUGUUGGGCAAAAGAUUCCUUCACUGCAGGGUGUUGGAUUAGAUGACCCCCAUGGUCCCUUCAACUAUAUGAGUCUAUGAUAGAUGGGAAAUCAACUCCAAGAAAGAAUCUGACUUGCAUAGGUAAUGCCUGAUUAAAUAUGAGAAGGUGAGGAUAAACUAUUCAUAUCUGUCAAGCUGAGAAAGAGUCCAUGAGGUAAGUAGAACUACUAUCCACAAAGAGACUAGUUCUAGUGUAUAUAUUUUAUUUUUUUGCUUAAGUCUCGACCCAGUUGACCCUGGUGACCGAGAAGAGAAAUAUUUUGCUGCUGAAGUGAUCAUGGGAAGGAGUAAUGUCACCUCCAGACAACUAUUCUAUACUGACACAUUAUCCACUCUACCCUGUCCUCGUUUGACUCCACCCAGUCCUUUGUUUCUGUUCUUGCCAUCUGUCCUCCUCUCCAUAUUUCUUUUAAUGGAAAUUAGUUGCACUACGAUGGACUACCACCCUGCAUGCUCUUUAGAAUAAGCUAUAGCACUAUAUCACCCUGGCUGGGAUUCAGCAAGAUUAAGCCCCAAUUUGUAAAGCUUCCCAAAGUUAUGGAGAAAUGCCCCCCUCUUUCCAGAAAAAAUAUAUGUUUUAUUUGGAGUUUGUGAGGUCUUCCUGCCUUGUCCCCAACCCCAUGAGGUUCACUCCCCACUCUCCUCCACCUGCGUCUGAAAGGUUGGAAUCCUGCAUCCAAAUGUUUUAUCCUCUCCACCCCUGUCAAUUGUCAGCAUGCCAGGUUGCAAGAGGCUUUCACACAAUUACUGCGCACUCCCCCUCUUUUUUCAAGCUGGAAGGUACGUAGCUGCAUUAUGGUGCAAUGCCUGCUCCCAGAGAGCCUGACCCACAGAAUGACUCCCAGAGCAUGCUGGAGAGAGGAGGAAAGCAAGUGAAUGAUGAGGGUGAGAGUGAAUUAGUCAGCAUGGACAAGAGAGAUGAAAAAGCAACUAGCGGGAAGGACCAAUGGAGCACGUGUGUGAGAGAGAGCAUACGGACAUACGCACGUACGCCUACUCCUGCCUCUUUUUAAAAAACAAUUUUAACUGAGUAAAUUGCCAGGAUGCCCUAGCACAAACUUCUCUCCCUUCCCCACUCCUUCAAGUGUAGUCAGCUGUGCACCACCGUUACACUUUUAAACAGCUUUAAAGGCUAUGCUUGCUGUGCUAAACCUUUGCUUGUUUCCAUCCCCCCCCCAAAAUGGCAGUAGUCAGCAUCACCGUGAAGUACACCACAAAGAAGCAAAAUUAGUUCAGCACAUUACCAGGGCUAUAGCACAACAAAAGCAGAACCCACACCCUCCCAAAAAAAUAAUAAAUCAGAAUGUUUGUGGUACAAAAUCUUACAGGUUUCCUGCAAAAAGUUACAGACCAUGCAUGGCUUGUGACAGAUGCCAUGAGACCAUCCAGAAAGGUAUUGAAGGUGCAAAUUGACUUGGAACAUGACCAUCCUGAUACCCUGAAGAGUCAUCUUGUGCAUUAAGAAGGACCCUGUUACUGUUUGCAGAGGCAGCUGUGGUCAUUAAAGGGCAAGAACAGUUCAUUAUGUUAGAAAAUAGUGGUUUCAAUGAAGACAAUGCCCUCUUUCCACCCUCUGCAAGGAGCUACACAAACAUAAAUAGCAGGCAUCUUGGCUGUCAGGGUGUCCCAAGUGGCAUGAAUCUUUCAGGGGACCCCAAGCCACUGCCUGACAGCCUCCAUCUUCCAGCACUACUUGUGAUCCAGAAACAAUUUUAGCCAGCAGCCAGCAAUCUGAAAUCUACUCUGCACUAGCCAGAUUUAAUGUGAUCGUGGCUCCUGUUCAAAAGCAGAGCUGGAGAAUAAUGCUAGUCAAAUUUGACAACUGAGGCACAGUUUUCAAGUUUGACUUCCUUGGAAUUCCGAACAUUUUUCAAAUUCUGCUUUUGAAAUUUAAGUAGCUCUGACAAACGGAUGCUUGACAGCAUUGCCUUUGAUUAUUUAUGUUUUCCAGUAGUAUCCCUACAAUGAUUCUACAUCUUAUUUCUUUCUUUUCCUUUAGAUAUUAUUGAAAAUAAUUUGAAAAGUUGCACUCUAGUGUACUUUCCUUAAAUACAAAAGGCCACAGUCAUUUGGCAUGGUGCUCAAGACUGCUGGAGGAUACCAUGAAAACCAAAAACUACAAUCCCCAUCCCCCAAUAUUUAACAGCUUGCUCUAAUAACUGUUCACUUCCCCUACAAUGGUAGGUAUAAAUAAAACAUUUGUGUCCUACAUCUGUUACUUAACAGAAUCCAUAGAAGGAAAGGUUGAAAAAGAUUAUCUAGUUAAGAAAAUAUAAAUUAAAACUUUUUGCGAUGUGAUUCUCAAGCAAAUUCUUUUCCCCAAUCCCAUUCAGCUCAAUUUAAUGACUUCAGGAGUACUAAUGCUGCAAGCAUUGGUCCUGCUGUUAGUUGCAAACUAGGGAGUUUCCUGGCUACUACAAUUUUGUGGGUGGAAUUCAAUCACAUACCAGCAAAUUCAGGUUGCACAAUAAAAGUGGAUUUGGAGCUCUUGUGCAACAAACCCACUUCCCUCCCCAAGCUCAAAAAACCUGAACUUUUUGCAGCAAGGAAAGGGACAGGAAAGUGCACUGGAAAGUGUUGGAUAACAAUUGCUUGUUGAAAGAUAUAACCUCCUCACAAACAAAUCUCAAUGAAUGCUCCAUAAACAGCCAAUGUCGUACGUAUAACCUCCCACAAACGUCAUGCAAACCAAUCAGAAUGAAUGCUCGACAGGCAGUUAGUUUGGAAGCUGGUGGUGGUUUCAGGAUGGAAUAGUGGAAGCACACAUACUUCUCAAAAUUGAAUAUUUCGCACUAACCAGUUUUCACACAGUUGUAUUAGUUGAUGUCACUGGCACCUCACAGUCUGAAGGGCUGACACAGUCCUAGAGGUAAAUCAGGGAACUGCCUGGGGCACCAGAAAUGCCAGGGGCUCUUGCCUCAGCUAUGUUAAUGUCUUGGAGACAGAACUGGAUUGAUCAAGUUUUCUAAUGCAUGCUUAUAUGUGAAGUGAAGUGUCUAAAGUAUGUUAGCUGAUGGUGCCUAGAAUUUAAUCCAAACCUGUGGAGUAGAGUGGUAUGAUCAGUGCUAUUUUUCUAGAAAAAGAGGUGCCAUAACUCACCAUGAACGCCUUCCUUGUUCUCUUAUAAUGGCAAUGGUGCCCACCUGAGAGGUGCUGGAACUGAAUUCCAGUGAGUUCUGGCUGAAAAUAAGCCCUGGGUAUGAUGGUCCAAUUAUUGAAGUUAAAAAUAAAAAUAACAUCCCAUGCCCAUUUGAUGUUUUACGGUUAUGCUGCUCAGCCUACAGUAAGUCACAGGGGAGGGGAGGAUUUUAAUUGACCUAGGGCAACAAAAACCCUUUAGCUGUCCCUGAUAGUCUAUACUCAAUAACGCAGCACAGCCUAGCAUGAUCUUUAUGCCUGGUAGUUCCAGCGCAUAAAAACGACCUCCUCACAUCUUGCUUUCGAGUCCCUUAGCAACAGUUAUUUAGACAAACAAUUUGCAACACCUUCUGUACUGUCCCAUCUUGUGAGCCAGAUUUCUCUCCCCCACCCCUCUAAGUCUGCACAUGUUGGCACGUUUGAGCAGCUUCAUAAAGCCCAGUAUUCCUCCACAUUAAAAAAACAAAAAAACUGCAUGCAGGCUGUGGGUACAGAGUCAUUGUACCAUAGCACAUACACACCCUGGUUUUUGUUCAGCAGACACACAUACAGUGAGAACUGUACAUACAUCAAAAAACCUGAGUGUCCUCUGAAACCCUGCUCCUUAAUACCAAAGUGGCAGCUCUGUAAGCACCUUUGUUUGUACACUGGCGUCAGAAGCCGCAAACACCAUAAAGUGUGACUUAGAAAUGUUUGCAGACACACACAGAGGGACAUGCACUAGACACGCACCAAGGAGCCCUGAUUGCAUUCAGCCCCCUGGCCUAUGUCCACUUAUGUGUCUCUUAUCAACAUUUUUCUGAGUUUUACAUCUAAUGAGUUUCACACUGAACAUCAGCAUGCAUGUGGCAAAUGCUCUCAGUGCAUUACUUAUCAAACAGCCCCAAAUGCUACAGAUUGUUUUGGACUGCAGGAGUGCAGUACAAGCAUAUAGGCACAAUGAGUCUCUGACAACCUGGAGCAAAUCUACCUGAUAAAUAGCUGAACUAGUUCAUAAGACAAGGAAAACAUCCUCUGGACCUGCUAGAAAGCGUCCCUUGAGGAGGGCUCCCGCCUGCCUGACGCCAUAGCUGGCAUUAUCUGCAGCCUGCAUUUAAAUGCACUGCAGCAGAUCUGCAGUCCUGCCCUCUAAUACAGCAAAAGAUGAAAUCCUAAAGUAUUUUCAAAGAAAUCUAGCCGUUAGAGACCAGUUUUGCUGGUUUGGAUCUGUUACGUUCCAGUGCUUAAUUUGAUGUCAUGCUCAAGGAUGGGCAAUAGCAUAUCAUGAUAUAGACAACAGCUGUAAUUUUCCCCAUGGCUAUAUAUCAUAGCUGGUGAUGCCACCUUUCUCCUGUAGCAUGUAGCUGGGCUCACUUGCCAGAGUCACUUACUUUGCAGACUACCUGCUCUCCCCGUUUGAGGUACACUUUGGUCUCCAUAAGCUGUUAUGUGGAUGGAUACUCCUGUUUUUGUGUGCUAGGGGUUAGCUAAAUAACAUCCUGAGGCCUUAAAAUUUCCACACUGCAUUUCAUGCAGCUCCACAGUAAUACUUUAAUUCACCAAAGAGCAAAAAUAUCUUAAAUCCAUCAUUCCUCCCCUUGUUUCAGUCCAUGUGCUUAUUCCUUAGAAGAACCUAUACUCCAAGCCAUGUUAUCGGUUCUACACAGUGAGUGGCUAUUGUUACAUGUGCUUGAUAUCUGGAAAGGCACAGAUCUCUUCACUUAAAAGGAAAGGGCGACUGCUUGACUUCAUUGCUAUAGUUACUAUGAAAUAUAUAUAUAUAUAUAUAUAUAUAUAUAUAUAUAUAUAUAUACACAACAAACAGUCUUAAAAUACACUUUUCUUUUUCUCCCACUUUUUUGCAACUUAGUCUGCAAUAUAUCUAAAAGGAGACCAUUGAAGUUUGCUGAGAAUCUUGUCACAUUCAUCAAAAUCUCUUCCUCUCCCACCUCAACCUGAAGUCUGAUCUGACAUGUCUAAAUCUCAAUUGAAACGUUUGGUUUGAAAUUGUGUCACAGAAAAGUACUUUUUAUUUAACAUAUUUGAUCCAAUAUACAGAACUACGAGAAUACAGUAUUCCAAUACUCUCCAGGCACAAAGUACGGUACUCAUCUUCCAAGCCACAUUGCAAUUACUUUACAGUCAAUGUCCCCAUCACUGAUCGCAAAUAAUCCUGCUUCCACCUUGUACUUUUUUCUUCACUACUAAGUAUUCACUUACCCAACACAAGACUACAUGAUCAGGCUUCACAAUAAAAGGGCAUGGAUCACAAUCAUUUAGUAUCUAUUUAGUAUCUAUCUAUCUAUCUAUCUAUCUAUCUAUCUAUCAUUUAAAGGUAAAAGUACCCCUGCCCGUACGGGCCAGUCUUGACAGACUCUAGGGUUGUGUGCUCAUCUCACUCUAUAGGCCGGGAGCCAGCGCUGUCCUCAGACAUUUCUGGGUCACGUGGCCAGCGUGACAAGCUGCAUCUGGCGAGCCAGCACCAGCACAGCACACGGAACGCCGUUUACCUUCCCGCUGGUAAGCGGUCCCUAUUUAUCUACUUGCACCCGGGGGUGCUUUCGAAACUGCUAGUUUGGCAGGCGCUGGGACCGAACGACGGGAGCACACCCCGCCGCGGGGAUUUGAACCGCCGACCAUGUGAUCGGCAAGUCCUAGGCGCUGAGGUUUUACCCACAGCGCCACCCGCGUCCCUAUCUAUCAUUUAGUAUCUAUCUAUUUAGAACAUGUUGAAAACAAAGAAGGCUUUGUUUUUACCCCACUAAAAAAAACGACUGGCAGGAACUGAGGCUGCUUAUGUAGGAAAUAGAAGUGCGACUGCUCCUCCCUAAGGAUGGACAAAUCCAUCAGUUUCUCAAUUUCUCAUUUUCCCAACCUUAAGUUCAGUUUGCCCUGUUUCCGUACACUUUUUGCUCCUGGCCCCAAUCAUCACUGGCAUGUGGCCCCCAGAAGGGAAUGUGGCCUUCAGGCUGGAAAAGGCUCCUCAGCCCUAGCUGAUUGGUUCAGGAAAUGUGAAUUAGGUAGGUUUGCAUUAGAAUGUGAACUGAAUGAAUUUCUUCCUCGUCCCUAUUCUAGAUGGGAGGAGCUGCAGCAGAUCUAGCUUCUAAGAGCUGAGUUAUAGCGCAGCUCCAAACUUAAAAUGUAUGGUGUGGAGGUGACCUUUAUCUGGUCCUUACUUCAGCUUGACAGGAGAUGGGACUGACACAGCCCCCGCAAAUCAAUCCAAGCCAGAUGAAAGAAAAGUGUGCUGCCCACAGAAAGAGUCUGCAAAGUAAACAGUCCCCAGUGUCACCAGCUAGGAAGCCUAGCCACAGAGGACACUCGUCACUAAACAGAUUCAAAGUCACUAAUCUGAACAGGGGUGGUGGUAGUAGGCUAUUUUCUGACACCAUACAAAUGUAUGAUCCAUCAGAUCCUGAAUGGGAAAGAAAAAACAAUAUGCAAGGCUACGUUAUAUGAGGCUGUGUACACGCCAUACCUUUAAAGCAUAUGCAAAGCUCAUUCUUUCCUUCAAAGAAUUCUGGGCACUGUGGUUUGCUAAAAGUUGCUGGGAGUUGUAAUUCUGCUACCUAUAUUGGAUGCAAGUCUCCAGAGUCAAUGCAAAUCAACCUUAGAAAAACCCAAACACCAAUAGGUUUGUCCCCACAACAGGCUUUCUGGGUCUGACGUGUCUCCCACAAGAGGAGGGCAAUCCUUACCUAGGAGCUCACACGCAAAAGGCACCUGCCUUUCUGUUCGACACCUUCAAGGACAUGCUGCUGCUGCUGCCAGGAAUAGAGUCCAUCAAAUAUUCAUAAAGCCCAGCUCCACUCCCAAGCCAACUUCGGCAAUCAGGAUUGACCCAGAAUAGAUUCACAGGCAGCAACCUUGUCUUCCUCUCAGCAGAUAAACUACACACACUUUCUCAACCCAGUGCCAGGUCUGACCUCCAGGAGAUUCUUUUGAAGACAGCUCCAGUCCACAAGAAAAGGCUUAGGACAUCACACCACCUGGACUGGGACCUGUGGUUAAUCUGAACUAUGACUGGGUCCAAACAAGCUAACUUCAAACCACAAUUGCUGAAGCUGUUAUACAGGCAACUUUCAUUUUGCACGCGUUUAAAGCAUGCAUGGUCACACAUGUGUGUGCCAUUUGCAGUGUACACUGUACAUGGUUCCCCCUUCCUCAUUUUAUCCUCCCAUUGUGAGGUAGGCUAGGCUGAAAACCAGUGGCAAGACCCAGUGAGCUCCAUGGUUGCGGGGAUUCAAACCCUAGUCUCCCAGGUCCUAAUCUGACACGCUAACCAUUACACCACACUGAGUUCCUUCCUGGAGCAAACAGAAGCAUGGUGGACAGUAAUCAGGAUCAACAGCACCCCCACCCACCCAAGGUUGCUCUUUACCAAAAAGAAGAAACAAAGACACGUGCCUAUCACAUUAUUAACAUAUCGACCCGGUAAUUUGUCUUUUAAUACCUUAUUUUAUAGUUGAGGCAAAAUUUAGCUCUGGAGUACAUCCUAGUGGGAGAGGCUCAUUCAAAGGAUAUGUUUCUCUUUGGAGUGUGGAAGAAAUAAGAUUCAUGGCCUUGAAGGCACAUCAGGCAGCAGGACUGAUCAACAUCAGGGACCCAAUGUAUGUUGCCCUGAGCCCCAUCACAGAAGAAGAGUGUGAUAUAAAUUAAAUAAAUAGGUUGCUCUUCCAGACAACCUGUUAAUUGAGCAUUCACCCUGAUUUGGUUGCUGAGAGGUUUGACAACCUGAUAUUGAAUGAGCAUUCAUCCUGAUUUGCCCUUGUGUUAAGCAAGUGUUAUCUCACACUUUCCAAUGCUUUCCCCCCUCACUUCCCUUAUCACAAAAAGCCUGAUUUUUAGGGAAGCAGGUUUGUUGCACAAGGGUUCCAAAUCAGCUUUAAUUGCAAGACCUGUAUUUUCCAGGAUAUAACUGAAUCCCACCCCAAAACAGCGACAGCCUGGAAGCAACCCCAGGUUAAGCCAGUAAAUUAAAUAAUAAAAUAAAAUAAAAUAAAUAAAAACAAUUAAAUUAAAUAAAGUCACUAGGCUUUGAGUGUGAUGUUGCUUGCACAAGACUUACUUCAUAAUAAGCAUGUUUAGGAUUUACUGUGCCCAUUAAGUAGAUAUGAGUGUUGUUUUUUAUAUGCAUUGGAGGGCAAAACUGUCCCCAGUCCACCUAUACCAACUCCCAUGAUCCCUAGCUAGCAGGACCAGUGGUCAGGGAUGAUGGGAAUUGUAGUCUCAAAGCAUCUGGCGGGCCGAGGUUGAGGAAGCCUGACCCAUACUCACUUAUAUCCAAUGGACACUGGGAGACACAAGCCAGCAGGAUAUUCUCCUGCACAAGCCCUACUGCAAGUGCAAACCAUCAUUCAUUUAAUCCCAAAUAUGGUUAGUGCAGGAUGACGUCCUGAGAUGCACUGUGCUCUUGGUGGCUUUCUUUGCAUGGCCUCUGUGCAAAAAUGCAGGAAAACCACAACGUGAGUCAGCUGGGAAGAAUGGCAAAUUGUAAAGCAUGCUCAUGUUUAUUCAGUUGCAAUUCAUCCUCAUUGUUUUGACGGGACACAAAUUCAUUUGUUAUUCACGGGAAUGGCACAAACGCUCCAUCAGCAUUCGCCGUUAGUUAAUAGCCACUUAGGGUACCGAUUUUCAUGUAAGCUCUUCUAGCAGACACUAUGAAAGGCUUCAUUUGUACAUCACAGGACACUUCCUUCCCCCAUCAAGAACUGGACAAGCUCUUUGAGGCACUGCAUCUCUACCUGCUCACAAAGAAUCAUGGGUGCUUUGAUUUUGUGAUCACCCUUAAAAAAAUGCAUGUAUCUGGAGUUUGGGUUGCCAACUUUUUUUUAAGCUCCUGUGUUCCAACAGAAACUUGAUAUGCAGGAAUUACCAGGUGAUGGGUGCUCAUCUCUAUACUGUGAAAAGCUUUACCGGAUCUUUUUGGAAGAUCAAGUUGCCAUUAAAUGCACAGGAGCAGGCCUAUUCAUUUCCCCACCCUAGUCAGUUGGCAAUCUUGGGAGUUCACAUUUAGGAUUUUCUUUGGCCUUCUAAUAUAUCCCAUGGCAUGGGGGGGGAGGGGAGACAGUGACUCAGUUUGAAGGCCUACAAAGAGCAUAACUGCAAUGCAAAGCAUGACCAGACCCCAAUAGGCUGUGGCUCAGCAUGGUCCAUCUCAUCCACUCUUCUCUUAUUCCAAAUUUCUCAGCUCUGAGUCCUGCUUGGGAGAGGUUUCCUUUAACUAUCACAUCUCCCCAUUCUAGGUCUACUCACACCGGCUGUCGGCAGAGAAAUACAGGCAAGCUGUCUGACAGUGACACCAAUAUGAGGAAGUCACACAGUAAGUGCCUGGCUGUGGCCUAAGCUCCCAACCCCCCAUAGUUCCCUUAUUGUUUAUUUAUUGGUAGUACAUUUAUAUUCCACCUUUUGUCCAAAGAGCUCUAGGUGGUACACACUCUUCGCCCAUUUUAUUCCCACAACCACCCUGUGAGACGGGUUAGGCUGAGUCACAGUGACUGGUCACCCAGUGGGCUUCAUGGCUGAGUAGGGAUUUGAACCCUGGUCUUCCAAGUCCUAGUCCAGCACUCUAACCACUACAUCACAUGGGCUACAUGUUAUGGGGGAGCGAUUAAAGCAGAAGAACAGGGUGCAGUAGAGGCUUUUAAGAGAUGUUAUCAUAUUUGCAGGCAGGCAAAAGCACCUUGUGGACAAUUCAGAGCAGGGCUCCAGGAAAGGUUUGGACUGGAAGCAGGGGAAGGGAAGGGUCUUGAAGUCCGGAUAAAGAGUGCGGAGGACCGCAUUUGGUCCCCAGUUUUGAGUUUUCCCCACCUUUGAAGGGAUGUGGGGCCAUCAAUGGUUAAUAGCCAGUACAACAGUAACCUGCAACACAAUUUUGCCGAGGUGUGGCGUGCUCCUCUUCAGGGUUCCAGCCAGCUAGCCAUGUUCUUUUCCAGUAUUCUCCAUUCGACCCACCCUGUUUCUCUCUCUGUUUUCUAGUUCCGGUUCCCCCAACAGUCAAUGAGAAUUCCUUGCCCACUGUUAUUGGGUUAUUUUGGAUUCCUCCCCACCUCCCAUUUAAGAUUUCCCCUGUAAAGUUUUUUUGUACUUCUAUCAAGGUUGCAGAAGGAUCAGCACUUGCCUGGGAAUUCAGGAAACAGAGGAAACGGCAGCUAAACGGAACUUCCAUGUUCAGAGUCAAUAUAUCUCCAAGUACCAGGUGUUAUGAGCAGAAAAACAGGGUGAGCCGUCACCUUCAGGUCCCUUCAUACAGGCAUCCAGAAGCAUUUCGCAGUUGCUAUUGGAAGCAGAAUGCUGGACUCAGUCUGAUCCAGCAAGGCCAUUAUUCUGAAAUAACCUCUCUCUGAUUAGUUGAGU
RNAcentral lists this long non-coding RNA (29343 nucleotides) under Podarcis lilfordi (Lilford's wall lizard). The stretch from base 18774 to 18831 matches the Rfam family "tRNA", at positions 8 to 63 of the family's 71-position model. The record is from RNAcentral. Lineage: Eukaryota; Metazoa; Chordata; Lepidosauria; Squamata; Lacertidae.